AAUAGAUACCCUGGUAGUCCACGCCGUAAACGUUGGGCACUAGGUGUGGGGUCUAUUCAACGGACUCCGGUGCCGUAGCUAACGCAUUAAGUGCCCCGCCUGGGGAGUACGGCCGCAAGGCUAAAACUCAAAGGAAUUGACGGGGGCCCGCACAAGCAGCGGAGCAUGUUGCUUAAUUCGAGGCAACGCGAAGAACCUUACCUGGGUUUGACAUGUAGAGAAAAGCCAUAGAGAUAUGGUGUCCUUCAGGGUUCUACACAGGUGGUGCAUGGUUGUCGUCAGCUCGUGUCGUGAGAUGUUGGGUUAAGUCCCGCAACGAGCGCAACCCUUGUCCUAUGUUGCCAGCACGUUAUGGUGGGGACUCGUAGGAGACUGCCGGGGUCAACUCGGAGGAAGGUGGGGACGACGUCAAAUCAUCAUGCCCCUUAUAUCCAGGGCUGCAAACAUGCUACAAUGGCCGGUACAAAGGGCUGCGAAACCGCGAGGUGGAGCGAAUCCCAUAAAGCCGGUCUCAGUUCGGAUUGGAGUCUGCAACUCGACUCC
Molecule: ribosomal RNA, 543 nt
Filed under: uncultured bacterium
Lineage: Bacteria
Description: bacterial SSU rRNA
Rfam family: Bacterial small subunit ribosomal RNA
Source: RNAcentral